ACCUAGCUAGCUCAGUCAGUAGAGCGUGUGACUCUUGAUGUUGGGGUUGUGGGUUCAAGCCCCAUGUUGCGUA
RNAcentral lists this transfer RNA (73 nucleotides) under Felis catus (domestic cat). It matches the Rfam family "tRNA". From Rfam's summary of the family: Transfer RNA (tRNA) molecules are approximately 80 nucleotides in length. Their secondary structure includes four short double-helical elements and three loops (D, anti-codon, and T loops). The record is from Rfam by way of RNAcentral. Lineage: Eukaryota; Metazoa; Chordata; Mammalia; Carnivora; Felidae.